UGUGAAUCCAGAGAGUGACAC
Molecule: non-coding RNA, 21 nt
Filed under: Caenorhabditis elegans
Lineage: Eukaryota; Metazoa; Nematoda; Chromadorea; Rhabditida; Rhabditidae
Source: RNAcentral